CCUACGGGUCGCAGCAGUGGGGAAUAUUGCACAAUGGGCGCAAGCCUGAUGCAGCCAUGCCGCGUGUAUGAAGAAGGCCUUCGGGUUGUAAAGCACUUUCAGUAGGGAGGAAGGUAGUGUAGUUAACACCUGCACUAUUUGACGUUACCUACAGAAGAAGCACCGGCUAACUCCGUGCCAGCAGCCGCGGUAAUACGGAGGGUGCAAGCGUUAAUCGGAAUUACUGGGCGUAAAGCGCACGCAGGCGGUUUGUUAAGUCAGAUGUGAAAUCCCCGGGCUCAACCUGGGAACUGCAUUUGGAACUGGCAAGCUAGAGUCUCGUAGAGGGGGGUAGAAUUCCAGGUGUAGCGGUGAAAUGCGUAGAGAUCUGGAGGAAUACCGGUGGCGAAGGCGGCCCCCUGGACGAAGACUGACGCUCAGGUGCGAAAGCGUGGGGAGCAAACAGGAUUAGAUACCCGUGUAGUC
Molecule: ribosomal RNA, 465 nt
Filed under: uncultured bacterium
Lineage: Bacteria
Description: bacterial SSU rRNA
Rfam family: Bacterial small subunit ribosomal RNA
Source: RNAcentral